ACACAUCCCGAUUGUCCCUCUAACUGCAGGGUGUUCACCAGGCAGAGAAAACAAAGCAAGGGCCAGUUCUCGAGGGUCGAGGAAUGGAACUAUCAGCUGUCAAGACAAAGCCACAAAGGGUCUGGGAGACAGAGACAAUCUCCCACACACACCCAAGGCAUGCAACAAUGCCACAUUUGGAUACACUGGGACUUUCCCACAGACGGAACCAGAGCGGGGUCGCUCCUACAUGCACCAGCUUGGGAACCCCACUCCGGCCCUCUGCCGCAGCCCGAUCGCACCGCCGUCCCCGCUUCCCACCCCGAGGCCCAGUGCUUACUCGAACAUGGAUGCGGCGCCCCGGCUGCAGGGCAGGACCCGGCCGGCUGCGCUGAGAUGGGCCUCCCGGGCCUCGCCUGCCUCGGCCGCCGCCUCCACCGGACCCUGCCACCCGCACAAAAGGCCGGAGCCGCCGGAGGCCGCCUCGGCGUCAGCGACACCCCCUUCCUGCUCCCGCCCCGCGCGCGUCACGGCGCCGCCCCCGCCGGGAGGGGGACCUGGACGCGAGCGCGGGCCUAGGCCUAGGAUGGCUGGAGAAAGAGUCCGGCUGGGAGAUAGAAGAAAAUUUUUAUUUAAAAUGAGCAGCCUGGGCGGGGCGUGAUAGCGCACGCCUCACAUCCCAGAGGCUGAGGCAGGAGGAUUGCCAUGAGUUCGAGGCCAGCUUGGGCUACAUAAUGAAGUCCAGGCCAUUGGAAUGCAGAGUGAGAAUUUGUCUUCAAAACAAAUGAGCAAACAAGUUUAAACACCCUGGGCUUCUCCCCUAGGACCCAGAAGAGUCUCUGAGAAGUGGGAUGGAGGUGGGUGACAGGCUGAUGCUGGGAAGAACUGGCCUGGGGCGGAAGUCUGGGGGUGGGGUGGGGUGGGGGAACCACAGCUGGAGGGUGGAAAGCCUCUUCCCGCUCUCCCCACCCAGCCUCAGAACCGCAGUUCCUGCAUUAGAAGCGUUCACUUUUCCACGCGCGUGUGUGUAUGGAGACUUCCCCAGCCUAAUCGUGCAGACCAUGUCAGAUUCCAGCCCACCCGGCUCCUAGCAGUACUGUGUGAGCUUGGGCAAGUCUCUCAGGCCUGGGGAGCCCCCUGUUCCCAGGCAAGGGGUUUCCCCCAGAACAGCACAGGGGCAGGGCUCAUCAGCGCUUUUAAUACUGGGAAGCCUGCCGAGCCUCAGGACGGGAAAUGACCAUACAUUGCAGUGUAGGACUAGUUCUUGUGCCAGCCAGCCCUGCACCCACCUCUGCAAGCCAGGCGUGGUUGUCGUCCUUGCUGGAGAACACAAUGUGAACGAGCCUCUGGCUUUGGGACCCAGCCCAGGGAUUUCUCCCCACCCCUCUUCGGCCUUCAGCCUCUUGUCCAGCUACAGUAGGCCCAGUCCCACCUUGUUUGGUUUCCAUUCCUACCCCACUCUGUUACCACUUACAGCCAGAGAGCCUGUGAAUCGCCAAGUCUGGCCAGAGGCCUCUUGGCUUCAAGCCCUUCCCUGGUUCCNCCUCAUUCCUUGUUAAAAAAAAAAAAAAGUGCUCACCUUGGUGUCCAGAGCCCUCCUGAUUGGGCCCCUUCCACCUGUCUGUCUAACUGGCUCCUCCUUAGCCUCCCGGUUGAUUAUCCCAGGUGUCAAUCUACACCCCUGCUCAUCCCACCUGCCCCCCCCCCCCCCCCCCCGGCCUCAGGACCUUUGCACUGCUAUCCCUUCCACAGGAGGAAGUUCGCUCUUCUUGCAUGGCUGCCUUCCAUCUUUCUGUGUCCGUUGCUCUUUUUAUACUUCCGUAGCUUGUUUACUCUUAGAAAGACAUUUACUUUGGUGGUGAGGGCUUGGGUGGGCUGGAGAGAGGUUCAGGAUAUCAUUAUGUAGCCUGGGCUGGCCUCAAACCUCAGUAUGUAGCUGAGGCAGGGCUCGAAUUUAUGAACUUCCUGCCUCAGCCUCCUAAAUGCUGGGAUUACAGGCAGGAACCACCAACCCCACAAAUUUUUUACAUUUUUACUUAGUGAAUAUUCAUUUCAAAUAAAAGUGUAUAAUGGCCAUCUGUGUCCUCACCAUCAUAAGAGGUUCAGUAUGCAUAAAAAGCCUCAUUAAUUUCUUUAAAGGUUCUGAUUGUUUCUAAGGACAAUGGAAAGUCAUUAAAGUAUUUAAGUG
This 2167-nucleotide long non-coding RNA is filed under the name Mus caroli (Ryukyu mouse). RNAcentral describes it as "lncRNA (MGP_CAROLIEiJ_G0004008.1)". Lineage: Eukaryota; Metazoa; Chordata; Mammalia; Rodentia; Muridae. The record is from RNAcentral.